AACGCAACUUGCGCCCUUUGGUAUUCCGAAGGGCACGCCUGUUUGAGUGUCGUGAAACUCUCUCAAGGACCUCGACUUUCUUGUCGAGGUUGCUUGGAUUUGGAGGUCAUUGCAGGUGACGCCUAACAACGCAUUAUGCGUGUAAGGCGGAUCUGCUCCUCUAGAAUGUAGCAGUGGGGCUCUUGCGAUGUGCACUUACCCUCGGUGUUGUAGUUACACACUUGCGCCACGGGUUAGGUCAUUGCCUAUUUGUUUCGAUUGUUAUUCAACGACCGGAAGGGAGCCUUGCUUCAAACCGUGGCUUAUCUUUUUAAGUACACACAUUUGAAUCUUUUGACCUCAAAUCAGGCGGGACUACCCGCUGAACUUAA
This 371-nucleotide unclassified non-coding RNA is filed under the name uncultured fungus. RNAcentral describes it as "sequence contains ITS2". The stretch from base 1 to 52 matches the Rfam family "5.8S ribosomal RNA", at positions 103 to 154 of the family's 154-position model. The record is from RNAcentral. Lineage: Eukaryota; Fungi.